ACGGGUGAGUAAUGUCUGGGGAUCUGCCCGAUGGAGGGGGAUAACCACUGGAAACGGUGGCUAAUACCGCAUAACGUCGCAAGACCAAAGUGGGGGACCUUCGGGCCUCACACCAUCGGAUGAACCCAGAUGGGAUUAGCUAGUAGGUGGGGUAAUGGCUCACCUAGGCGACGAUCCCUAGCUGGUCUGAGAGGAUGACCAGCCACACUGGAACUGAGACACGGUCCAGACUCCUACGGGAGGCAGCAGUGGGGAAUAUUGCACAAUGGGCGCAAGCCUGAUGCAGCCAUGCCGCGUGUGUGAAGGAGGCCUUCGGGUUGUAAAGCACUUUCAGCGAGGAGGAAGGUGGUGAGCUUAAUACGCUCAUCAAUUGACGUUACUCGCAGAAGAAGCACCGGCUAACUCCGUGCCAGCAGCCGCGGUAAUACGGAGGGUGCAAGCGUUAAUCGAAAUUACUGGGCGUAAAGCGCACGCAGGCGGUUUGUUAAGUCAGAUGUGAAAUCCCCGAGCUUAACUUGGGAACUGCAUUUGAAACUGGCAGGCUAGAGUCUCGUAGAGGGGGGUAGAAUUCCAGGUGUAGCGGUGAAAUGCGUAGAGAUCUGGAGGAAUACCGGUGGCGAAGGCGGCCCCCUGGACGAAGACUGACGCUCAGGUGCGAAAGCGUGGGGAGCAAACAGGAUUAGAUACCCUGGUAGUCCACGCCGUAAACGAUGUCGAUUUGGAGGCUGUGCCCUUGAGGCGUGGCUUCCGGAGCUAACGCGUUAAAUCGACCGCCUGGGGAGUACGGCCGCAAGGUUAAAACUCAAAUGAAUUGACGGGGGCCCG
RNAcentral lists this ribosomal RNA (825 nucleotides) under uncultured bacterium. RNAcentral's name for it is "bacterial SSU rRNA". It matches the Rfam family "Bacterial small subunit ribosomal RNA", at positions 102 to 923 of the family's 1533-position model. The record is from RNAcentral.